UUAAAAGGAGAUGUGCAAGCAUUGAAUUGAAGCCCCAGUGAACGGCGGCCGUAACUAUAACGGUCCUAAGGUAGCGAAAUUCCUUGUCAGGUAAGUUCUGACCCGCAUGAAAGGCGUAAUGAUUUGGGCACUGUCUCAACAGCCCGCCCGGCGAAAUUGUAGUACCGGUGAAGAUGCCGGUUACCCGCGACAAGACGGAAAGACCCCAUGGAGCUUUACUGUAGCCUAAUAUUGGGUUUCGAUGUUGCAUGCACAGGAUAGAUGGGACUCUUGGAAACCAAGGCUUUGGCUUUGGCGGAGAGGCCGUUGGGAUACCAUCCUUGCGAUAUUGGAAUUCUAACCUGCGGCUCUGAAUCGAGUCGGGGGACAUUGUUAGGUGGGCAGUUUGACUGGGGCGGUCGCCUCCUAAAGAGUAACGGAGGCGUUCAAAGGUUCGCUCAGCUUGAACGGAAAUCAAGCAAAAGAGUGCAAACGCAGAAGCGAGCCUAACUGCGAGACUGACGGGUCGAGCAGUAACGAAAGUUGGAGUUAGUGAUCCGGUGGUAUGUGAGUGGAAAUGCCAUCGCUCAACGGAUAAAAGUUACCCUGGGGAUAACAGGCUGAUCUCCCCCAAGAGUCCACAUCGACGGGGAGGUUUGGCACCUCGAUGUCGGCUCAUCGCAUCCUGGGGCUGUAUUCGGUCCCAAGGGUUUGGCUGUUCGCCAAUUAAAGCGGUACGCGAGCUGGGUUCAGAACGUCGUGAGACAGUUCGGUCCCUAUCUGUCGUGGGCGCAGGAGGUUUGAGGAGAGCUGCCCCUAGUACGAGAGGACCGGGGUGGACGGACCGAUGGUGCACCAGUUGUCACGCCAGUGGCACAGCUGGGCAGCCAAGUCCGGACGGGAUAAGCGCUGAAGGCAUCUAAGCGUGAAGCCCCCUCCAAGAUGAGACCUCCCAUUGGCGACAAGUAAGGCCCCUCGAAGACGACGAGGUUGAUAGGCCGCGAGUGCAAGCGCAGCGAUGUGCUUAGCGGGGCGGUACUAAUAGGCCGAGGACUUGGCCAA
RNAcentral lists this ribosomal RNA (1041 nucleotides) under human gut metagenome. Its description in RNAcentral is "bacterial LSU rRNA". It matches the Rfam family "Bacterial large subunit ribosomal RNA", at positions 1877 to 2925 of the family's 2925-position model. The record is from RNAcentral.